GCCUGUUCCAGGCUUUGCUUCAGACGUUGAAGAAAGUAUCAUUGAAGCAUGGUGUUUCUAUAUCAACUGUUGCUGUGAGAUACAUACUGAACCAGACAUCUGUUGCGGGUUCAAUGGUGGGUGUGAGACUGGGACUCUCUGAACACAUAAAAGACACCAACGCCAUCUUCUCGCUUGAAUUAGAUGAAGAGGACAUGAACAGCAUCACUGAAGCAUCGAAUAAGGGAAGAAA
This 232-nucleotide unclassified non-coding RNA is filed under the name Hevea brasiliensis (rubber tree). The record is from RNAcentral. Lineage: Eukaryota; Viridiplantae; Streptophyta; Magnoliopsida; Malpighiales; Euphorbiaceae.